This 19-nucleotide non-coding RNA is filed under the name Arabidopsis thaliana (thale cress). RNAcentral also lists the same sequence under 1 other name. Lineage: Eukaryota; Viridiplantae; Streptophyta; Magnoliopsida; Brassicales; Brassicaceae. The record is from RNAcentral.
AAGGUAGCCAAAUGCCUCG